AGAGUUUGAUCCUGGCUCAGAUUGAACGCUGGCGGCACGCUUAACACAUGCAAGUCGAACGGCAGCGGGGCUUACUGAGAGGUGAGUUGCCGGCGAGUGGCGGACGGGUGAGUAAUACGUAGGGAUCUGCCCUGAAGAGGAGGAUAACCUGAGGAAACUUGGGCUAAUACUGCAUAGACUCUGAGGAGUAAAGCUAGGUG
This 200-nucleotide ribosomal RNA is filed under the name uncultured bacterium. Its description in RNAcentral is "partial 16S ribosomal RNA". It matches the Rfam family "Bacterial small subunit ribosomal RNA", at positions 8 to 213 of the family's 1533-position model. The record is from RNAcentral.